CAGCAGCCGCGGGAAUACGUAGGUGGCAAGCGUUGUCCGGAAUUAUUGGGCGUAAAGGGCUCGCAGGCGGUUUCUUAAGUCUGAUGUGAAAGCCCCCGGCUCAACCGGGGAGGGUCACUGGAAACUGGGAAACUUGAGUGCAGAAGAGGAGAGUGGAAUUCCACGUGUAGCGGUGAAAUGCGUAGAGAUGUGGAGGAACACCAGUGGCGAAGGCGACUCUCUGGUCUGUAACUGACGCUGAGGAGCGAAAGCGUGGGAAGCGAACAGGAUUAGAUACCCCGGUAGUCCCUGUCUCUUAUAC
This 301-nucleotide ribosomal RNA is filed under the name uncultured bacterium. RNAcentral describes it as "partial 16S ribosomal RNA". It matches the Rfam family "Bacterial small subunit ribosomal RNA", at positions 509 to 807 of the family's 1533-position model. The record is from RNAcentral.